Sus scrofa (pig) is the source of this 3904-nucleotide non-coding RNA. Lineage: Eukaryota; Metazoa; Chordata; Mammalia; Artiodactyla; Suidae. The record is from RefSeq and is a predicted model, not a curated record.
CCCAGUGAGCAAGGCCAGGGAUCAAACCUGUGUCCUCAUGGAUACUAGUCAGAUUUGUUUCCGCUGAGCUACGACAGGCACUUCCUUCCAGAUGAAAUUUAUGUGUUCUGUUAGGUAAAAUAAAAUGUAAGGAAAGAAAUCACAUCACUCAACUUAUCAAGAUUUUGGAUGCAAUUUUGUUAAAAGAAUGUCGUCUUCCCAUCUAUGAAGCCAGUACAAGUUUCCAUUCACAUCUUUAAUGUCACAUGGUAGAGGGAAAGAGUGUCUUUUGUGUAAGUUCUGCCUGGUUCUUGUUAAACUAGUCCCAGAUACUGAUGCUGCUGUGAAUGGAGCUUAUUUCCUAUUACUACUCUUGGCAUUAAGAGAAACAAUUGAUGGAAAAGUGUGCAGACCUGUACAUCAUCUUAAUCAUAGUCAAAGUUUAUAUUAUGACAAAUGGGACAAACUGACAUGGUAUGUAUGAAACUGAUCUGAUGUCAUUUUACUGAGAACAUAACAUCUCUUAUGUUAUGCCAAGAAAUUAUAACCUGCAUUUAAUUUUAAGGAAACAGUCACCCAAAGUCAAAUUAAGGAACACUCUUCAAAACAGGGAGCCUGUCCUCUUCAAAAUUACCAAUCCAUAAAAAAAAAAGAAAAAUUCAAAAAAGCUGCAGAGCUGGAUGAAAGGGGUCUAAAUGAUAUAAGAAUAGAAUGUAAGGAAUGACUCUGAAUUGGAUGCUGGAUCAGAAAAAAAAAAGUUAUAGAGGACAUUAUUGGGACAAUGGGUGAAAUUCGAAUAUGGUCCAUAUAUUUGAUAAUAAUAUAUCAGUGUUCACUUUUCUUGAAUUUGAUCUGUAAAAGGAUGCCCUUGUUAGAAAAUACAUGCUAAUUUUAGGGGUGAUAGUUCGUGUUUGCUGCUUACUCUCAAAUGGUGAGGAAGAUGAGAGAGAAAUAAACAGAAUGCAGAUGUGGCAAAAUAUUAACAAAUGACAAAUCUAAGUAAACACUUUACAGGUGUUCAUUCAGAACGAAUCAUUCAUGCAACUUUGCCGUAAGGUUGAAAUUUUUCAAAAUAAAAAGGUAAAAAGGGUAGGAAAAUUAUUAACCGCAUGUUUAAUGGCAAGAUCCUUUGAUUCAUGUUUGCCGUUUUAUUUACAGUUUUGGUGUAUUACUUUUGAAAUCCAGUUUUGAGUGGAGUAGGGCAAAUCAUCCAACCGACCAGAUAAAGAAGGAACUCUUCGGACAUUCCCUAAGGAAGGGGGCGCAGAGACUUAUAGGAAACAGAGCCCGAAUUUGAUGGAUCACCUGGAGGAGAGCGUGGGAACUUGGCCUCGAAUCUCCUUUUGCGCAUGCGCAGUUCUCCCUCAUUGUUUGGCUCAGUUGUCUCCAGCUUUAUGUGGUAGAUAAUCCUGGAGGCUUCGGGUUUACGCGACGCUCUGUCGCUGGUUCCUGCACGAAGGAUGAGUGCUACAGCUCUGCCUUUACAGUUUUCAACUUUUCCAGGAGCAGGAGAAAAUGAACACAGCCCGGGGAUUUGUGUUGUUCGAGGAUGUAUCUGUGGACUUCACCCAGAAGGAGUGGCGGCUGCUGGUUGAUGCUCAGAGGCUCCUGUACAGAGACGUGAUGCUGGAGAACUACAGGCACCUGGCAUCCCUGGGCUUGAAUCCCAAGCAACUUUGCCAAGUGCCAUGUCAUUUCCCACAACAAACCUGAGCUGAUAUUCAAGUCGGAGCAGGGAGAGGAACCACGGAUAUUAACGGGAGGACUCCCAAGUCACAGCCACCCAGUCCAAAGAACCACUCACGUGAAUGAAAUAACACAAGAAAAUGAAAACAAGUAUUUGAGGCAAACUUUAUUCAUCAACAACAAAGCAGUGACUUAAGGAGAGAAGUAAGACCUUCAGAGAAAUGCUUAAUAUGGCCACAAAUCUAAUGCCCUCAAGAAAACUGUCCCAUAAAUGUGACCUAUCUGUAACAAACUUGAAAAUUAUUUCUGAAUUAAUUAUUCAUAAUAGAAGCCAUGUGAGAAAAAAGUCUAAUCUCAAUGGAUAUGGAUUCCUUGAUACUGUGCAUGAGAAAAUGGUUACAGGGAACAAGCCCUGUGAAAAUGAUCAAAAGAAGAAAUCCCACAGACUAAUUGAGGACUUUGUUCAACAUCAGAAGAAUUCAGCUUGGGAGCAACUUCUUGAAUAUAAUGAUUGUGAGAAAGCCUCUCCCAGAAAGACAGCCUUUAUUAUAUGCAAGAGAGCUCAUACAGGUCAGAAACCCUCUGAAGGUAACAAAUACAGUCAAGCCUUCAUCCAAAAGUUAAAGCUCAGUGCUUGUCCACGAACCCUUAGGGAAAGGAAACCACAUGAAUCCAGUGAAAAUAGGAAAUCCUCAUUCAUGAAGCCAAAACAUACACAUCAGAGAGCUUACUAUGAAUGUAGUAAAUUGGGGAAAUCCUUUAGCAAGAAGUCAAACCUUACUCAGUGUCAGAGAAGGCAUCCAGGAGGACAACCUCAUGGGUAUAACGGAAGUGAGGGAGCCUUGCAGAAGUCACUCCUCACUCAAAAUGAGUGAACUCACAUAAGAAAGAAAAUCCAUGAUGCUAACAAAUGUGGGAAAUCCUUCCAGGAAGAGCCACGCCUGACUCAACAUCCGAGAACUCACACAGCAGAACAGCCCAAUGAGUGUAAUAAUAGUGAGAGAGCCUUAAGAAAGGAAUCCCACCUCGCUCUAAAUCAGAGAAUUAAUACAAGUGAGAAAAGCUUUGACAGUAGUUAAGUGUGAGAAAUCCCCCCACAAGAAGUCAAAAUUCAUGCAACAUCAGAGAGCACACUCGGGGGAACAAAAUGAGGGUAGUGAAAGUGAGGGGGUUUCAAGCAAGGAGGAACCUCUUGCUCGAAAUCAGAGGGCUUGCAAAGGGAAGAAAACCUUUGACUGUAAUAAAUGUGGGGACAGCUUCCCUAAGAAAACAGACCUUACCCAACAUCAGAGUGUGCACACAAGAAAAAAGCCCUAUGAAUGUAGUGAAUGUGGAAAGUCGUUCUUUGUGAAGUCCAACCUCACUGAACAUCAAAGAAUUCACACAGGAGAAAAACCCUAUGAAUAUAAUGAAUGUGGAAAGUCCUUCUGCCAGAAGUCAGCCCUCACUGUACAUCAGAGAACUCAUAUAGGAGAGAAACCCUAUAAAUAUUUUGAGGUGGGAAAACCUUCCGUGUGAAGUCAAAUCUUACUCAACAUCAGAGGACCUACACAGGAGAGAAACCCUAUAAAUGCCAUAAAUGCUGGAGAUCUUUCUAUGUGAAAUCCAAUUUGGUCGUACAUCAGAGAACUCAUAUGAGGGAGGAAACCUACAAGUGCCUCGAAUGUGGGAAAACCUUCUAUGAAAAGUCAGCUCUCAAAAGACAUCAGCGAAUUCACACAGGGGAAAAACCCUAUGAGUGUAAUGAAUGUAGAAAAACUUUCAGCUAGAGGUUAGCCCUCACCAAACAUCAAAGAAAAACACACAAAAAGAAACCUGUGUAUGUCCAGAAGCCAUCUUCUACAAGUUAUAUGCAUUGAACAUCAGGAAAACCACACGGCAGAACCACUAUGAUGUCAACAUGUAUAGUAAAAUCUUUUUCAAUAGGACAUAGCUUGAUGGAAUUGGAGAAGUAAUAUAGGAGUGAAAUAGAAACACUCUAUAAACGCUUUGCUCAUGUGAAAGCUUUCAAGAAGUGUUCGAAGAUAUUGAGGGGAAAUGUUUUAUUUUUUAAAAUACAGAUUGAAAAUGUGGAUAAAAAUGAUGUUGUGGAAAAGUGUUCUUGUGGAAAUAGUCAUAUUUCAGACAUGAUAUCAAACUUAUUGCAAAAAAUAAUAAAAUAUUCAGUUCUUAGUAGAAUGAAAUGUGGAGGUUUUGUCAAAGCAGGAAUAGUUUAAGUCAUUGGCACAGCAGCAUUAAA